GUGAGGAAUAUUGCGCAAUGGAGGCAACUCUGACGCAGCCAUGCCGCGUGCAGGAAGAAGGCGCUACGCGUUGUAAACUGCUUUUAACCGGGAAGAAACCCCAGGACGUGUCCUGGGUUGACGGUACCGGAGGAAUAAGCACCGGCUAACUUCGUGCCAGCAGCCGCGGUAAUACGAAGGGUGCAAGCGUUAUCCGGAUUCAUUGGGUUUAAAGGGUGCGUAGGCGGAGCGUUAAGUCAGUGGUGAAAUCCUGCAGCUUAACUGUAGACUUGCCAGUGAUACUGGCGCUCUUGAGUGCGCUUGAAGUGGGCGGAAUGUGCCGUGUAGCGGUGAAAUGCUUAGAUAUGGCACAGAACACCAAUUGCGAAGGCAACUCACUAAGGCGAUACUGACGCUGAGGCACGAAAGCGUGGGGAUCGAACAGGAUUAGAUACCCGGGUAGUCC
RNAcentral lists this ribosomal RNA (445 nucleotides) under uncultured bacterium. RNAcentral's name for it is "partial 16S ribosomal RNA". It matches the Rfam family "Bacterial small subunit ribosomal RNA", at positions 354 to 796 of the family's 1533-position model. The record is from RNAcentral.